GUCCCUACGGGAGGCAGCAGUGAGGAAUAUUGGUCAAUGGGAGAGAUCCUGAACCAGCCAAGCCGCGUGAGGGAAGACGGCCCUAUGGGUUGUAAACCUCUUUUGUCGGAGAACAAAACCCGGGACGAGUCCCGGACUGCGUGUAUCCGAAGAAAAAGCAUCGGCUAACUCCGUGCCAGCAGCCGCGGUAAUACGGAGGAUGCGAGCGUUAUCCGGAUUUAUUGGGUUUAAAGGGUGCGUAGGCGGUCCGUUAAGUCAGCGGUAAAAUUGCGGUGCUCAACGCCGUAGAGCCGUUGAAACUGGGG
Molecule: ribosomal RNA, 305 nt
Filed under: uncultured bacterium
Lineage: Bacteria
Description: bacterial SSU rRNA
Rfam family: Bacterial small subunit ribosomal RNA
Source: RNAcentral